CUGGUUGAUCCUGCCAGUAGUCAUAUGCUUGUCUUAAAGAUUAAGCCAUGCAUGUCUAAGUAUAAGUAUCAUACAGCGAAACUGCGAAUGGCUCAUUAAAUCAGUUAUAGUUUAUUUGAUAAUCAAAUCUACAUGGAUAACUGUGGUAAUUCUAGAGCUAAUACAUGCUGUCAAACCUGACUUCUGGAAAGGUUGUAUUUAUUAGAUAUCAAACCAUCAUUGGUGAUGAUUCAUAGUAACUGAUCGAAUCGUAGUCCGCUACGAUAAAUCAUUCAAGUUUCUGCCCUAUCAGCUUUCGAUGGUAGUGUAUUGGACUACCAUGGCAGUCACGGGUAACGGAGAAUUAGGGUUCGAUUCCGGAGAGGGAGCCUGAGAAACGGCUACCACAUCUACGGAAGGCAGCAGGCGCGUAAAUUACCCAAUCCCAAUUCGGGGAGGUAGUGACAAGAAAUAACAACUCGGGCGGCGCAAGCCGUUGCGAGAUUGCAAUGGGUACAAUUUAAAACACUUAACGAGUAACAAUUGGAGGGCAAGUCUGGUGCCA
RNAcentral lists this ribosomal RNA (544 nucleotides) under uncultured eukaryote. Its description in RNAcentral is "SSU rRNA". It matches the Rfam family "Eukaryotic small subunit ribosomal RNA", at positions 4 to 569 of the family's 1831-position model. The record is from RNAcentral.